AUUGAACGCUGGCGGCAUGCCUUACACAUGCAAGUCGAACGGCAGCACGGGAGCUUGCUCCUGGUGGCGAGUGGCGAACGGGUGAGUAAUACAUCGGAACGUACCCUGAAGUGGGGGGAUAACGCAGCGAAAGUUGUGCUAAUACCGCAUACGAUCUGUGGAUGAAAGCGGGGGAUCGCAAGACCUCGCGCGAUUGGAGCGGCCGAUAUCAGAUUAGCUAGUUGGUGGGGUAAAGGCCCACCAAGGCGACGAUCUGUAGCUGGUCUGAGAGGACGACCAGCCACACUGGAACUGAGACACGGUCCAGACUCCUACGGGAGGCAGCAGUGGGGAAUUUUGGACAAUGGGCGCAAGCCUGAUCCAGCCAUGCCGCGUGAGUGAAGAAGGCCU
Molecule: ribosomal RNA, 390 nt
Filed under: uncultured bacterium
Lineage: Bacteria
Description: bacterial SSU rRNA
Rfam family: Bacterial small subunit ribosomal RNA
Source: RNAcentral